AAGCGAACGCUGGCGGCGUGCUUAACACAUGCAAGUCGAGUGCGCGGCUGUAGCAAUACAGCGGGCGCACGGCGCACGGGUGCGUAACACGUGGGCAAUCUGCCCUCGGAUGGGGGAUAACCCGCCGAAAGGCGGGCUAAUACCGCAUGAUAUUCCUGGGACCCCGGUCCCGGGAUUCAAAGGCCGCAAGGCCGUCGGAGGAGGAGCCCGCGCCCGAUUAGCUUGUUGGCGAGGUAACGGCUCACCAAGGCAAUGAUCGGUAGCCGGUCUGAGAGGAUGGCCGGCCACACUGGAACUGAGACACGGUCCAGACUCCUACGGGAGGCAGCAGUGGGGAAUAUUGCGCAAUGGGCGAAAGCCUGACGCAGCGACGCCGCGUGGGGGAUGAAGCUUCUCGGAGUGUAAACCCCUUUCGACCCGGACGAACGGCCCGCAAGGGGCGUGACGGUACGGGUAUAAGAAGCCCCGGCUAACUACGUGCCAGCAGCCGCGGUAAUACGUA
Molecule: ribosomal RNA, 502 nt
Filed under: uncultured bacterium
Lineage: Bacteria
Description: bacterial SSU rRNA
Rfam family: Bacterial small subunit ribosomal RNA
Source: RNAcentral